This 253-nucleotide ribosomal RNA is filed under the name uncultured bacterium. RNAcentral's name for it is "partial 16S ribosomal RNA". It matches the Rfam family "Bacterial small subunit ribosomal RNA", at positions 524 to 776 of the family's 1533-position model. The record is from RNAcentral.
UACGAAGGGGGCUAGCGUUGCUCGGAGUUACUGGGCGUAAAGGGCGCGUAGGCGGCACUGUUAGUCAGGCGUGAAAGUCCUGGGCUCAACCUGGGAACUGCGCUUGAUACGGCAGAGCUAGAGGAUGGAAGAGGGUCGCGGAAUUCCCAGUGUAGAGGUGAAAUUCGUAGAUAUUGGGAAGAACACCAGUGGCGAAGGCGGCUCUCUGGUCCGAUUCUGACGCUGAGGCGCGAAAGCGUGGGGAGCAAACAGG